AACAGUUGCUAAGACUGGAUAGGAAAUUAGAAGGCAUCUUUUAAUUUUUAAAAGACCUUUUUCGAAAGGUAUACUUAAAGAGGGGCUUGCGGCACAUUAGUUAGUUGGUAGGGUAAAAGCCUACCAAGACCAUGAUGUGUAGCUGGACUGAGAGGUUGAACAGCCACAUUGGGACUGAGACACGGCCCAAACUCCUACGGGAGGCAGCAGUAGGGAAUUUUCGGCAAUGGAGGAAACUCUGACCGAGCAACGCCGCGUGAACGAUGAAGUAUUUCGGUAUGUAAAGUUCUUUUAUUGAAGAAGAAAAAAUAGUGGAAAAACUAUCUUGACGAUAUUCAAUGAAUAAGCCCCGGCAAACUAUGUGCCAGCAGCCGCGGUAAUACAUAGGGGGCGAGCGUUAUCCGGAAUUAUUGGGCGUAAAGGGUGCGUAGGCGGUUUGGUAAGUCUAUAGUUUAAUUUCAGUGCUUAACACUGUUCUGCUAUAGAAACUAUCAGACUAGAGUGAGAUAGAGGCAAGUGGAAUUCCAUGUGUAGCGGUAAAAUGCGUAAAUAUAUGGAGGAACACCAGAGGCGUAGGCGGCUUGCUGGGUCUUUACUGACGCUGAGGCACGAAAGCGUGGGGAGCAAACAGGAUUAGAUACCCUGGUAGUCCACGCCGUAAACGAUGAGUACUAAGUGUCGGGGAAACUCGGUACUGAAGUUAACACAUUAAGUACUCCGCCUGAGUAGUACGUACGCAAGUAUGAAACUUAAAGGAAUUGACGGGACUCCGCACAAGCGGUGGAUCAUGUUGUUUAAUUCGAAGAUACACGAAAAACCUUACCAGGUCUUGACAUACUCUGCAAAGCUAUAGCAAUAUAGUGGAGGUUAUCAGGGAUACAGGUGGUGCAUGGUUGUCGUCAGCUCGUGUCGUGAGAUGUUAGGUUAAGUCCUAAAACGAGCGCAACCCUUGUCACUAGUUGCCAGCAUGUUAUGAUGGGCACUUUAGUGAGACUGCCAAUGAAAAAUUGGAGGAAGGUGAGGAUCACGUCAAAUCAUCAUGCCCCUUAUGAUCUGGGCUACAAACGUGAUACAAUGGCUGUUACAAAGAGUAGCUAAAACGCGAGUUUAUAGCCAAUCUCAUAAAAGCAGUCUCAGUUCGGAUUGAAGUCUGCAACUCGACUUCAUGAAGUUGGAAUCGCUAGUAAUCGCGAAUCAGCAUGUCGCGGUGAAUACGUUCUCGGGGUUUGUACACACCGCCCGUCAAACC
Molecule: ribosomal RNA, 1249 nt
Filed under: Candidatus Phytoplasma cynodontis
Lineage: Bacteria; Bacillati; Mycoplasmatota; Mollicutes; Acholeplasmatales; Acholeplasmataceae
Description: bacterial SSU rRNA
Rfam family: Bacterial small subunit ribosomal RNA
Source: RNAcentral